CUUCAUUGCUUUUCUUCUGCCGAAACUCCAUCCUAAGACCACCUAGACACAGCUCCCAUCAGUUGUCUUUCCCUGCUAUAGCCAUACUCUUUUGGGCUGCCAAAGUUACACCAACCCGUCUACCAGCUGCCUUACCCACUGCAUGCAAGCCAUCAAACACCCCAUACCCAUCUUCUUCUCCUCCUCAUGCACCUCGCUGGAGUUGUCUUCAGGUUCAGUUUUCCUCCUCACGUGCCUUUCCGAAGCUGUCUUCAGGUUCAGAGCUCCUACCUCAGCCCCGAACGCCUCUCCACACUGCCGACGAUAACUAACACGUUGUCCUCUUCAACCGCGCACCAUUAGCAGCUCCACCGAAACCCAUUUCCAAUGUGUUUACCAAUAAUACCACGUCUCCGUUCUGGUUCUGUCCAGAUGUCGACGAAGAUCUGUACAACCACUAGCUUGCGGCCUGGCCAUGAAACGACGUAGUGGCUCUUAGCGUCGAGCGUUCUCAUUUCUGGGGUGCAGGGGCCGCGCAUACUGUCACCUCUUUUUAUUGCAUUGUAGUUUAUAUUUUGAUUGGCAUUCCUAAGUUACAAAAAUGUCACACCGUAAAGAAAUGGGCCAUUUUCAAGAGGUGUAUGUUAAUUAUUCGUUACUAUUUUAUUAAGUUUCAGGUCCUUUUCUUUCUUGAUAUCUCUAAGUUUUGGGGGUAUUAUGCAUUCUAAGUAUCAUAGAAGUAGCUGAGGGGCGGGAGAAUUGGUUGUAGUUAAGGCCUGUUUGGCCGGAAAAUAGGUGGUGCCGGUUUUUGAGAAACAUGAUGUUUGCAUUGAGUUGAAGUAGUGAGGUCACGUGAGGGGAUCACCGACCUGUUUUCGAGGGGUUUCCAGAGGCGGUAUAAAAACAGGAGAAACCGCCUCUGUUAAGAGUAGCGAUUCUUUUUGACUGUGAGAUUCUUCAUUUCUUUUGAGAAAAGGGAGAGAGAAGGAAAGCUUAGAGUUUCGGGAGAAGGAAGUGGAGAUUGAGAGCUCCAGCAGAAAUUGUCAUGCCAUGGGGCUUAAGGCUAUAGGAUUUUGCAUACUGCAUCUUCUUUUCAGAAAUUACGCAUCAUGUCCAAAGUUGUUAGAAGCAAACCCCACAAAGCAUUUACUUUCAACUGACCUACUGGUCUAGCGCGGUUUCAAUCUCUACUGUUCUAACGCGGUUUCCUUCUCUGCUGGUCUAACGCGGUUUCCUUCCAUUACCCUUUCACGCGGCAGGCCCCCAGAGAUUACGUAUCACGCCAAUAGGUGUUGGGAGAAGCAAACCCCACAAAGCAUUUCUUUCAACUGAUCUACUGGUCUAACGCGGUUUCCUUCUUUACUUCUAUCCUUUGUUCUGCAUUCCUUCUGCUUCUCCUACUACAAGAAGCGGAAACACUUAUUUUUCCAGAAUAAUACUGCAGCAGAAGCACUUCUUUGCCCAAAAUACUCCAAGUUUUGCUGUGAGACUUGGCUCCAAUUACAUCAACAAGAUCACCAUCACUUGUCACUGUGUUUGGUUAUUAUUAUUGGUUAUUCUCUUGUUCAGAUUUCUCACAGCUGUAUUCUUCAAUUAUAGCUAUGGUUUCAUUUCAGAUUUGCAA
This is a long non-coding RNA of Vitis riparia (riverbank grape), 1603 nucleotides long. RefSeq lists it as uncharacterized. NCBI's taxonomy places the organism in Eukaryota, Viridiplantae, Streptophyta, Magnoliopsida, Vitales, Vitaceae. The transcript is spliced from 3 exons. The record is from RefSeq and is a predicted model, not a curated record.